GACGAACGCUGGCGGCGUGCUUAACACAUGCAAGUCGAACGGAAAGGCCCUGCUUUUGUGGGGUGCUCGAGUGGCGAACGGGUGAGUAACACGUGAGUAACCUGCCCUUGACUUUGGGAUAACUUCAGGAAACUGGGGCUAAUACCGGAUAGGAGCUCCUGCUGCAUGGUGGGGGUUGGAAAGUUUCGGCGGUUGGGGAUGGACGCGCGGCUUAUCAGCUUGUUGGUGGGGUAGUGGCUUACCAAGGCUUUGACGGGUAGCCGGCAUGAGAGGGUGACCGGCCACAUUGGGACUGAGAUACGGCCCAGACUCCUACGGGAGGCAGCAGUGGGGAAUAUUGCACAAUGGGCGGAAGCCUGAUGCAGCAAUGCCGCGUGCGGGAUGACGGCCUUCGGGUUGUAAACCGCUUUCGCCUGUGACGAAGCGUGAGUGACGGUAAUGGGUAAAGAAGCACCGGCUAACUACGUG
This 468-nucleotide ribosomal RNA is filed under the name uncultured bacterium. Its description in RNAcentral is "partial 16S ribosomal RNA". It matches the Rfam family "Bacterial small subunit ribosomal RNA", at positions 28 to 507 of the family's 1533-position model. The record is from RNAcentral.